UUGAAAUUUUGAUUGACAUUAGUUAUUUUAAGUUUUCGGAAUAUACCUAUAAAACUAUUUUUGGGAUAAUGGCCCCCCUAACAAAUACAAGUGAAUGUGCAUUUUGUCUAAAGUCGCUAUAUAAAAUCUCAAGCAACUAUUUACAGUCGUAAGUCUUCAAUCCCAGAUUUUCCAAAGAUAAGUCCAAACGAUCUUUGUGGCUUAUAGUUUGUGGUUUCACUGAAGAAGAUUAUAAGCCUUCUGGAUAACUUUGUUCACUCCAUUUCGACAAAGGUUGUUCCAAAACUAGGACUUAAUUGAACAUUUUAAAACCAUAUUCAGUUCCAACAACGUUUGAAAAACAAUCAAAAGUAUUUUUUGAAUCAACUUAUGUUAGAUAGGUCCUCGUAUAAGUACCCGAUCUUUACAAGAGUAGACAGGUGGAUGAUGAGUCAUGGCUUACAGCUGGUUCACCACAGGAUGGAUGCAGUCAUGCUAACGAAAAGGUAGACAUACCUCCUCGGCUCAGUCUAGACCAGCGAUACCCAAAUUGUGUUCCGUGGGACAAUCUCAAGGGUUCUACUAAAUAAAUUACGGUUCCACGAAACAUGGAACUUUUUCCUAAGGGUGCUGUAGUCAAGUUUGGAAACCGCUGAUCUAGUUAUAUGAGCAACCAAAUUGGGUACCUUGGCUUCAUUCUCGAGCAGUCACAGCCAAUGGAAGAGGAGGCUACUCAACUCAGUGGUCUAGUCUAGAGCCAACUCUUGUAUGCCGCUCCAGUUUGGGCAAGCGCAGUCAACGCGACGGCCAAGUUCAGGACAUUUCUUCAAAGGCCCCAAAGAUCAGCGGUCCUUAAAAUCAUCAGAACUUCAACUGUCACUGAUGAAGCAGCUUUCCUCCUAGCACUUAGCUGGGUCAAGCAAUGUACAAACAGUUUGGUCUCCUUGUAGUAAUAUUACAAGCAAAAAAAAAGGUCCUUGUAUAAGAUAUCUGAGUUACUGCCAUACCAAAUUUGCAAGGAGGCUGCUUAAAUAUCAAACAUUGAAAUGGAAAAUUCUCAAAUUGAUGAUACUCCUAAACGAAAGACUCAGAAAUAUUUUGUGGGUGAUGCAACUACUUUUACCAUAUUUUGCCACUCUGAGGAAAGCAAAGUAUAAUUUAACCGAAGCUAAAUAUAAAAUUAUUCAGCAACAAAAUAAAAUGAAAUAUUUAAACUUAAAAUUAAGCAGAUUGAUAUGAACUGAUUCACUAACCGGGUUGGGCUUCAGAAAAAAAUUGCUGGACCGGGCUGGGCCAUAAAUUGACGGUACUUGCAGGUCUAUAAAUUAAAUACCUAUUUGUUGAUCAGUGUAUUAAUAUUUAAUAGAUAAUGAUUAUUUUUUUAUUAUUAUGUUAUGUUCA
This is a long non-coding RNA of Acyrthosiphon pisum (pea aphid), 1380 nucleotides long. RefSeq lists it as uncharacterized. Lineage: Eukaryota; Metazoa; Arthropoda; Insecta; Hemiptera; Aphididae. The transcript is spliced from 5 exons. The record is from RefSeq and is a predicted model, not a curated record.